Molecule: ribosomal RNA, 403 nt
Filed under: uncultured bacterium
Lineage: Bacteria
Description: bacterial SSU rRNA
Rfam family: Bacterial small subunit ribosomal RNA
Source: RNAcentral
UAGGGAAUAUUGCAAAAUGGGCGAAAGCCCGAUGCAGCAACGCCGCGUGGGCGAUGAAGGCCUUCGGGUCGUAAAGCCCUUUUUGAGGGGAUGAGGAAGGACAGUACCCUCAGAAUAAGCCUCGGCUAACUACGUGCCAGCAGCCGCGGUAACACGUAGGAGGCGAGCGUUAUCCGGAUUUACUGGGCGUAAAGCGCGUGCAGGCGGAUUGGAGAGUUGGAUGUGAAAGCUCCCGGCUUAACUGGGAGAGGUCGUUCAAUACUUCCAGUCUCGAGUGCAGUAGAGGUAAGUGGAAUUCCGGGUGUAGUGGUGAAAUGCGUAGAUAUCCGGAGGAACACCAGUGGCGAAAGCGGCUUCCUGGACUGUAACUGACGCUCAGACGCGAAAGCUAGGGUAGCAAACG